ACUGCUCAGUAACACGUGGACAACCUAACCUAAGGUGGGGGAUAACCCCGGGAAACUGGGGAUAAUACCCCAUAGGCUAUGAAUGCUGGAAUGCUUCGUAGUUGAAAGGUGAGCCGCCAUAGGAUGGGUCUGCGGCCGAUUAGGUUGUUGUUGGGGUAACGGCCCAACAAGCCUGUAAUCGGUACGGGUUGUGGGAGCAAGAGCCCGGAGAUGGAUUCUGAGACACGAAUCCAGGCCCUACGGGGCGCAGCAGGCGCGAAAACUUUACAAUGCGGGAAACCGUGAUAAGGGAACUCCGAGUGCCCGUUAAAUCGGGCUGUCCAUCAGUUUAAAAAACUGGUGAAGAAAGGGCCGGGCAAGACCGGUGCCAGCCGCCGCGGUAAUACCGGCGGCUCGAGUGGUGGCCACUAUUACUGGGCUUAAAGCGUUCGUAGCUGGUUUGUUAAGUCUCUGGGGAAAUCUUCCGGCUUAACCGGAAGGCGUCUCAGGGAUACUGGCAGACUAGGGACCGGAAGAGGUGAGGGGUACUUCAGGGGUAGGAGUGAAAUCCUGUAAUCCUUGAGGGACCACCUGUGGCGAAGGCGCCUCACCAGGACGGCUCCGACAGUGAGGGACGAAAGCUGGGGGAGCAAACCGGAUUAGAUACCCGGGUAGUCCCAGCCGUAAACGAUGUGCGUUAGGUGUAUCGGUGACCACGAGUCACCGAGGUGCCGAAGAGAAAUCGUGAAACGUACCGCCUGGGAAGUACGGUCGCAAGGCUGAAACUUAAAGGAAUUGGCGGGGGAGCAC
This 789-nucleotide ribosomal RNA is filed under the name uncultured archaeon. RNAcentral describes it as "bacterial SSU rRNA". It matches the Rfam family "Archaeal small subunit ribosomal RNA", at positions 85 to 879 of the family's 1478-position model. The record is from RNAcentral.